Molecule: long non-coding RNA, 1726 nt
Organism: Oncorhynchus nerka (sockeye salmon)
Lineage: Eukaryota; Metazoa; Chordata; Actinopteri; Salmoniformes; Salmonidae
Exons: 2
Source: RefSeq, a predicted model, not a curated record
UCCCUCAGCCCCUCGUUUUUUGAUUGAGUCUGCGAGUGUACAGUUAUGUUCACUCCGGUCAGCUAAGACUUUAAACCAACAUUAAUAUGGGGAAGUCAACAUACAAGUCUUUUGUAAAACUCAGGUUAUCUGGAGUCGUUCGACAGUGCCCUGCUGAGAAAUACCCUGAAGCGGGGGCAUUUUGGGUACACAAGCACGAGGGAGCGGACACACCUUGCGUUUAUGGAGCACAACAAGAUUGUGGGACAGAAACCAUCCAGGGAUACUGAACGGUUUAAAAUCAACACGACAACAGUAAUGACACAACCACCUCAUUAUUCCCGAAACACAGUACAAAAACAUGUCAAAACAAUUCCCCUGCAAAAGGCUACUAUUGACAAGAAUGACCGCUCAAAGUCAAAUGGGCUGGGGGAGGUUUUACAGACAGUACUUUGAGAUGAGGAAGGGGUUUUCGGUUGUGCUUAGACAGUAAAUGUAUUGUGUAUGAGAGCGAUUAAGUGCCUUUUCUCCUCGAAGCUGUACAUGGCUCUGUAGCAUAAAAAAAUGCUAGACAUUCAGAUAUCAAAUCAUGUUUAUUUGUCAACAUUAAAAUACAGGAGAAUGUACACUAUGUAAUGCUAACUCAAGAGAACUGGGUAUUCAACAACGUUAUAUGGUAAAAGUAACAUUCAAAUAUAUAUAUAUAUAUAGUAUGAACAGCAUAGUACAGUUCAGUGUGUCUCAGGUGUAGGGACACACACGUGCUGAGAACUGUAGUUACACCAGAUAAUGUGAGUUCCUCAAUAUUUUAGCAGACAUCUUGGCUAUUUCAAGUCUUCUCCCAUUGAUUGAGACAGGUGGGUGUCCACUCCAAAGUGCUGAGUGUCAUGAUGACAGAGACCUGUCUAUCAAUGAGUGAGAAGACACGGAUGGUGGCACACCAUCUUUUUGGAGCAAAAAAAAGCAUUUAUUUUAAUAACGGGAGCAUUUGACAUUUUAUGACUCCCGUUUCCUCUGAUUCGAGGACAUUGCUAAGGUUGGUUGAAAAUACAUAUCCUGUGACUCCCAGUAAUGGAUACCAAAAAUCUUUAGUUAAAUCACAUUAUCUGGUGUAACAAUGUGUAUAUAAAAGAACUGGUGAUCAGCAGAUAGGAGAGGUGGUCAUGAUAAAAUUGCAAUUCCAAAAGAAACCUACAGUAAAUUCAGGGAAUAAUUGUAAAGCUGUGGGAGGAGUGUUGUCAUGAUCAAACUGUCAUUCAGCUCCUCAUCUGCUUGAAAUCCAUCAUAAUGUCUAAUCCCUCGAGGGGGAUACAGUUCACGGGAUACAGUUCUGCUACAAUGACACAUGCAGACAACAGAAUUAUGUUUCUGUAUCGAGAAUCCACUUCAGGAAGAAGCCCAGGCAUUAAACGUUAUUGUCUGCAAGACAACAAAAAAACAUACUCUAUUGUACAGUUUGAACAACAGUUGAACCGUGCCAGCAGAACAUCAACAUUAGGGUAGACUAGUUGUACAUGUAUAAAUUUUUCAGUUGUGCUGUGAUGCUUUACAUAGAUUUUGAACCUUUUCUAAUCAUAAUAGUAUCCACAGAUUGUGAGCUAAAGAUAAACCUUUCCUAAGAAUAUUAUAUUAUUUAUUGACUGACUAUGGUUUUCCAAAUCACCCAACACUGCUGUAAGGUUAACUGCUGUAAGGUUAAUAAACUCAGCCCAACAAGUUCUAGUCUUUCAGACUGGAAAAAAAUGUG